Molecule: long non-coding RNA, 412 nt
Organism: Mastomys coucha (southern multimammate mouse)
Lineage: Eukaryota; Metazoa; Chordata; Mammalia; Rodentia; Muridae
Exons: 2
Source: RefSeq, a predicted model, not a curated record
CGAUUGGUGAGCUCUAUGAGGCUUGUUGCCCAUUGGCUGAGUCGCCGGAGCGUGGCCCCCCUCCGCGCCGCCGUUUCCUUGGCAACCAAGGCCUGGAAGAGUAACUCAGGCUGAUGCCUCCCCCAGCUCCCUGCGCUGGGGGCAGGGCGCCCUGAAAGAGAGUACCCGGCCUCGCUCCAGGGCUGAAGGGACACACACUGCCACCUAGGGUGGUGGGAUGGAUACCUCCUCAGUUGGCAUCAUUUUGAACCCAGAGCGUGGCAGAAGAGGAUCCUGAAGAUGAAGGCAGCAAGGCCUGGUGGGAAGCCGGCACCUGCCCUGUGGACUCUUAGCGCCAGGGUUAUGAGCGCCUUACAUAAAGACACACAUUCUAUGGUGUGGAACAAUGAAGAAUGGAUAUGUGAGUGUGGAA